UUCCUCCUUCCACCAACCUCGAGAGAUUUAAACAAAUUCAGUGCACAGAAUUUCCUAUAAAUGCCACUGAGAAUUCUCCUCCCAACACAGGAGCAUCACCUGUAAGACAGAGAGGGAGAUCUGUGUGUCACAAUGGGAGCUAUUGUAGCAUUAGCAGUGUUUCUGGGGACUUUAUAUUAUGGUCACUGUGUUGAACUCACACAACCAG
This is a long non-coding RNA of Anguilla rostrata (American eel), 208 nucleotides long. RefSeq lists it as uncharacterized. Lineage: Eukaryota; Metazoa; Chordata; Actinopteri; Anguilliformes; Anguillidae. The transcript has 2 exons. The record is from RefSeq and is a predicted model, not a curated record.